GAUGAAGAACGUAGCGAAAUGCGAUAAGUAAUGUGAAUUGCAGAAUUCAGUGAAUCAUCGAAUCUUUGAACGCACAUUGCGCCCCCUGGUAUUCCGGGGGGCAUGCCUGUUCGAGCGUCAUUUCACCACUCAAGCCUCGCUUGGUAUUGGGCAACGCGGUCCGCCGCGUGCCUCAAAUCGACCGGCUGGGUCUUCUGUCCCCUAAGCGUUGUGGAAACUUUCGCUAAAGGGUGUUCGGGAGGCUACGCCGUAAAACAACCCCAUUUCUAAGGAUGACCUCGGAUCAGGUAGGGAUACCCGCUGAACUUAAGCAUAUCAAUAAGCGGAGGA
Molecule: unclassified non-coding RNA, 330 nt
Filed under: soil metagenome
Description: partial contains 5.8S ribosomal RNA, internal transcribed spacer 2, and large subunit ribosomal RNA
Rfam family: 5.8S ribosomal RNA (bases 1-120)
Source: RNAcentral